Molecule: ribosomal RNA, 500 nt
Filed under: uncultured bacterium
Lineage: Bacteria
Description: partial 16S ribosomal RNA
Rfam family: Bacterial small subunit ribosomal RNA
Source: RNAcentral
AUUGAACGCUGGCGGCAUGCCUUACACAUGCAAGUCGAACAGCAGCACGGGAGCAAUCCUGGUGGCGAGUGGCGAACGGGUGAGUAAAGUAUCGGAACGUGCCCAGUCGUGGGGGAUAACGUAGCGAAAGUUACGCUAAUACCGCAUACGAUCUAUGGAUGAAAGCGGGGGAUCGCAAGACCGCGCGCGAUUGGAGCGGCCGAUAUCAGAUUAGGUAGUUGGUGGGGUAAAGGCUCACCAAGCCGACGAUCUGUAGCUGGUCUGAGAGGACGACCAGCCCCACUGGGACUGAGACACGGCCCAGACUCCUGCGGGAGGCAGCAGUGGGGAAUUUUGGACAAUGGGCGAAAGCCUGAUCCAGCCAUGCCGCGUGCAGGAUGAAGGCCUUCGGGUUGUAAACUGCUUUUGUACGGAACGAAAAGGUUUGGCCUAAUAAGCUGAGCUCAUGACGGUACCGUAAGAAUAAGCACCGGCUAACUACGUGCCAGCCGCCGCCGUAA